CCUACGGGUGGCAGCAGUGGGGAAUAUUGGACAAUGGGCGAAAGCCUGAUCCAGCCAUGCCGCGUGUGUGAAGAAGGCCUUCGGGUUGUAAAGCACUUUCAGUGGGGAAGAAAGCCUUGGGGCUAAUACCCUCGAGGAAGGACAUCACCCACAGAAGAAGCACCGGCUAACCCCGUGCCAGCAGCCGCGGUAAUACGGAGGGUGCGAGCGUUAAUCGGAAUUACUGGGCGUAAAGCGCGCGUAGGCGGUCUGAUAAGCCGGUUGUGAAAGCCCCGGGCUCAACCUGGGAACGGCAUCCGGAACUGUCAGGCUAGAGUGCAGGAGAGGAAGGUAGAAUUCCCGGUGUAGCGGUGAAAUGCGUAGAGAUCGGGAGGAAUACCAGUGGCGAAGGCGGCCUUCUGGACUGACACUGACGCUGAGGUGCGAAAGCGUGGGUAGCAAACAGGAUUAGAUACCCCAGUAGUC
RNAcentral lists this ribosomal RNA (465 nucleotides) under Vreelandella stevensii. RNAcentral describes it as "partial 16S ribosomal RNA". It matches the Rfam family "Bacterial small subunit ribosomal RNA", at positions 338 to 795 of the family's 1533-position model. The record is from RNAcentral. Lineage: Bacteria; Pseudomonadati; Pseudomonadota; Gammaproteobacteria; Oceanospirillales; Halomonadaceae.